UUGGUGUGGGGGCAGUUUUUAUGUUCUAUAAUACAAAGCAUACUAAAUGGAAUAAAUGGAAAUUUAGAGUCACAGUUAAACAUUCGACUUAUGUCUUCUCUUUUAAGCAUUUUAAACUACCUCUAUUAUAUUGAUUUUUAGAAGAAUUGUUUUCUAAAGAAAACUGCUUCCUGAUGUUGGCGCAGGAUAUAAAGAAUAGGAUUUCCCAGAAGAAGAGACAUUUUUAUCCCAGUAAUCCACAAUAAAAUGGGGUGUAGAGAGAUGUAUCCAGAGCUGCACAGCUAGUGGACGUCUGAGCAGGAGCCACAUGCAGAAGAGUCUGACUCCAGGGCCUCAGCGUUGCUGUGUUUAGUCAUUCCUCCCAAUGCCAGUGAUCCCUUAAAUCUGGGUGUUGUCCAUCAUCAUCCCUGCCCGUCUCCGUGCAUCCACAACUGCCACAUCCUGAGAGCUCAGUCCAUCAUAAAUGCAAUUAUAGCCUUUUACCUCCUCCUCACCAGAUACUCUCUACAGGGCAAGUUCAUCAAACUGUGUGCUUAGAAGCUCUGGAGCAGAACUCUCACCCACCAGAAGAUUGCCUCAAGAGAUAAAAGAUGAUUUACAACCCAAAGUAUGCCCACUAGAGGUUUUGGCCAUUUUUACAAUGUAUUCCUGCCCAUGAAGAUGCCAACUUGACUGCCCAAUACAUAAAGCACCAAAGCAAGUAUGCGGACCCCCCCACACCUCCUCACUUCUGCUCCUGUGUAGACCCCCAUCUUUAAAAGCACUUACUUUCUCCUGCAAAAGCAAAUCAGACCCUUACAGCAGGAAGGCUUUUCUUCUUCUCCUAAACUAGCUUUGGAAUAAAAAGUUAUUUUCUUUA
RNAcentral lists this long non-coding RNA (859 nucleotides) under Homo sapiens (human). RNAcentral's name for it is "HSALNT0380711". Lineage: Eukaryota; Metazoa; Chordata; Mammalia; Primates; Hominidae. The record is from RNAcentral.